CACGCAGGCGGUUGUGCAAGUCUGGUGUGAAAGACCUGGGCUCAACUCAGGGGACGCGCUGGAAACUGCACGACUAGAAUCUUGGAGGGGGAGUUGGAAUUCCUAGUGUAGGGUGAAAUCUGUUGAUAUUAGGAAGAACACCGGUGGCGAAGGCGAACUCCUGGCUGUAGAUUGACGCUGAGGUGCGAAAGCAUAGGGAGCAAACAGGAUUAGAUACCCUGGUAGUCUAUGCUGUAAACGAUGUGCACUUGGUGUUGGGCCGAUUAGGUUCAGUGCCGUAGCUAACGCGAUAAGUGCACCGCCUGGGGAGUAUGCCCGCAAGGGUGAA
Molecule: ribosomal RNA, 328 nt
Filed under: uncultured bacterium
Lineage: Bacteria
Description: bacterial SSU rRNA
Rfam family: Bacterial small subunit ribosomal RNA
Source: RNAcentral